GAUGAAGAACGCAGCGAAAUGCGAUAAGUAGUGUGAAUUGCAGAAUUCAGUGAAUCAUCGAAUCUUUGAACGCACAUUGCGCCCUUUGGUAUUCCAAAGGGCAUGCCUGUUCGAGCGUCAUUUGUACCCUCAAGCUUUGCUUGGUGUUGGGCGUCUUGUCUCUAGCUUUGCUGGAGACUCGCCUUAAAGUAAUUGGCAACCGGCCUACUGGUUUCGGAGCGCAGCACAAGUCGCACUCUCUAUCAGCAAAGGUCUAGCAUCCAUUAAGCCUUUUUUUCAACUUUUGACCUCGGAUCAGGUAGGGAUACCCGCUGAACUUAAGCAUAUCAAUAAGCGGAGGA
RNAcentral lists this unclassified non-coding RNA (341 nucleotides) under soil metagenome. RNAcentral describes it as "partial contains 5.8S ribosomal RNA, internal transcribed spacer 2, and large subunit ribosomal RNA". The stretch from base 1 to 120 matches the Rfam family "5.8S ribosomal RNA", at positions 35 to 154 of the family's 154-position model. The record is from RNAcentral.